UCGGGACUUUGAGAGCGGCGUACGGGUGCGUAACACGUGUGCAACCUACCUUUAUCUGGGGAAUAGCCUUUCGAAAGGAAGAUUAACACCCCAUAAUAUAAUGAUUGGCAUCAAUUAUUAUUGAAAACUCCGGUGGAUAGAGAUGGGCACGCGCAAGAUUAGAUAGUUGGUGAGGUAACGGCUCACCAAGUCUGUGAUCUUUAGGGGUCCUGAGAGGGAGAUCCCCCACACUGGUACUGAGACACGGACCAGACUCCUACGGGAGGCAGCAGUGAGGAAUAUUGGACAAUGGGUGAAAGCCUGAUCCAGCCAUCCCGCGUGAAGGAUGACGGUCCUAUGGAUUGUAAACUUCUUUUGUACAGGAAUAAACCUACUCUCGUGAGAGUAGCUGAAGGUACUGUACGAAUAAGCACCGGCUAACUCCGUGCCAGCAGCCGCGGUAAUACGGAGGGUGCAAGCGUUAUCCGGAUUUAUUGGGUUUAAAGGGUCCGUAGGCGGGCCUGUAAGUCAGUGGUGAAAUCUCAUAGCUUAACUAUGAAACUGCCAUUGAUACUGCAGGUCUUGAGUAAAUUUGAAGUGGCUGGAAUAAGUAGUGUAGCGGUGAAAUGCAUAGAUAUUACUUAGAACACCAAUUGCGAAGGCAGGUCACUAAGAUUUAACUGACGCUGAUGGACGAAAGCGUGGGUAGCGAACAGGAUUAG
Molecule: ribosomal RNA, 701 nt
Filed under: Chryseobacterium sp. A14
Lineage: Bacteria; Pseudomonadati; Bacteroidota; Flavobacteriia; Flavobacteriales; Weeksellaceae
Description: bacterial SSU rRNA
Rfam family: Bacterial small subunit ribosomal RNA
Source: RNAcentral